GACGAACGCUGGCGGCGUGCCUAAUACAUGCAAGUAGAACGCUGAAGGAGGAGCUUGCUUCUCUGGAUGAGUUGCGAACGGGUGAGUAACGCGUAGGUAACCUGCCUGGUAGUGGGGGAUAACUAUUGGAAACGAUAGCUAAUACCGCAUAAUAGCAGUUGUUGCAUGAUAACUGUUUGAAAGGUGCAAUUGCACCGCUACCAGAUGGACCUGCGUUGUAUUAGCUAGUUGGUGGGGUAACGGCUCACCAAGGCGACGAUACAUAGCCGACCUGAGAGGGUGAUCGGCCACACUGGGACUGAGACACGGCCCAGACUCCUACGGGAGGCAGCAGUAGGGAAUCUUCGGCAAUGGACGGAAGUCUGACCGAGCAACGCCGCGUGAGUGAAGAAGGUUUUCGGAUCGUAAAGCUCUGUUGUAAGAGAAGAACGGGUGUGAGGGUGGAAAGUUCACACUGUGACGGUAUCUUACCAGAAAGGGACGGCUAACUACGUG
RNAcentral lists this ribosomal RNA (495 nucleotides) under uncultured bacterium. RNAcentral describes it as "partial 16S ribosomal RNA". It matches the Rfam family "Bacterial small subunit ribosomal RNA", at positions 28 to 507 of the family's 1533-position model. The record is from RNAcentral.